CCCCUUUCCUGGAGACCUCCUGUGCCCUGGACCUCCCCAAACUGGGAACACAAGGAUGGAAGCAGGAGGAUGAGGAGGUCCUGGAGCAGCCCUGGCUCCUGGGCGAUGGAUGGGAAUUUCCAAGUCUCUGCUCUGUUCCAAACCCUGACGUCACCACUGGGACCAGGCUGGUUCCUUCUGGGGUUGGAGACCCAGGAGCUGCCUCCAGCUUCAGCCAUUGAGAAGAAUUGAUUUUAUUUUCUGUGGAUGUCCCCGUGGGCUGCUGGCAUGCUGACAAUGUCCCCAUCUGAGGUCUGCAGCUCUCCUGACCCGGAUGAGGAAGGUGGUACCAGGAUGGGGGGAUGCUCCACGGGGAGCCCAUCACCCUGGGAGGGCUGCAGGAAGAGGAGGUGCCCUGGCAAGGGUCCUCUCCUCCCAGCCACGCUGGCCAGCAGGCACCAAAACCUCCAACAGUGGUGUCAAGAAGAGGAAAAA
Calypte anna (Anna's hummingbird) is the source of this 474-nucleotide long non-coding RNA. RefSeq lists it as uncharacterized. The transcript has 3 exons. The record is from RefSeq and is a predicted model, not a curated record. NCBI's taxonomy places the organism in Eukaryota, Metazoa, Chordata, Aves, Apodiformes, Trochilidae.